This 383-nucleotide ribosomal RNA is filed under the name uncultured eukaryote. Its description in RNAcentral is "partial 18S ribosomal RNA". It matches the Rfam family "Eukaryotic small subunit ribosomal RNA", at positions 592 to 976 of the family's 1831-position model. The record is from RNAcentral.
CAAUAGCGUAUAUUAAAGUUGUUGCAGUUAAAAAGCUCGUAGUUGGAUCUCUGGUGGGAGCGAUCGGUCUGGCGCUUAGCGCGAGUACUUGCAUCGUCUCCGGCCAUCCUUGGGGAGAGUCUGUCUGGCAUUAAGUUGUCGGGCAGAGGAUCCUCAUCGUUUACUGUGAAAAAAUUAGAGUGUUCAAAGCAGGCUUAUGCCGUUGAAUAUAUUAGCAUGGAAUAAUAAGAUAGGACUUUGGUACUAUUUUGUUGGUUUGCGCACCAAAGUAAUGAUUAAUAGGGACAGUUGGGGGUAUUCGUAUUCCGUUGUCAGAGGUGAAAUUCUUGGAUUUACGGAAGACGAACUACUGCGAAAGCAUUUACCAAGGAUGUUUUCAUUAA